This is a long non-coding RNA of Danaus plexippus (monarch butterfly), 1514 nucleotides long. RefSeq lists it as uncharacterized. The record is from RefSeq and is a predicted model, not a curated record. NCBI's taxonomy places the organism in Eukaryota, Metazoa, Arthropoda, Insecta, Lepidoptera, Nymphalidae. The transcript has 3 exons.
GUGAAAUUAUUAGAAGCAAAAUAUUAUCCUUAAAACAAAAUGAAAUAGUAUUUAAAAAGUAUUAUUACACGACGAUAUUAUUCCGCAAAAACAAAUAACGCUGCAUACAACCGUUCAGAAGGGAGCCGACCGCGCGUCUGAGCCGCGCGGCAUGGUACCUCGUAGAGCUACACCCCCCCCGCUCCCUCCGCGUCGCUCGCAAGCAACGACGCCUCUCCUAUGUUUUGCACUUCAUGCGGCGCGCGGGUGAACUUUAUAUCGGUGUUAUUUUAAAAUUGUAAUAUCUUCUAAGAUAUUCAUUGAAAUUAAGUGAUGUCAAAGACAAUUUUGUUCACAGUUAAAUAAUCUUAAUCAACAACACAUUUAUUUGGAUAAAGAUUUGUAUUAUUACGUUGAUACAAUAAUGCAUUAAUUUCGACCAAAUUUUAUUACUAUAAAAACGGUUCUAGUGUGUUAAUCUUAAAAGAUAGAUAUAUACUGUCGUGGACAUUUUUUUAGAUCAUUUCAAGAGGAAUAAUUCUUUGAUACAUAUAUUUUUGGUAUCUUGAAUCGUUUUCGCAACGCAUGCAACGAAAGCCCUCAAGAAUGAAUAAUUUACCCCGUUUUUUCCACAUUUUCCAUUAUUUCUUCGCUCCUAAUAGUGGCAGCGUGAUGUUAUAUAGCCUAAAGCCUUCGUCGAUAAAUGGUCUAUCCAACACAAAAAAAAAAUUCAAUUCUAACCUGUAGUUCCUGAGAUUAGCGCGUUCAAACAAACAAACAAACAAACAAACUCUUCAGCUUUAUAAUAAUAGUAUAGAUAUAUAUGUUGAAUGAUACAAGUAUCAACAUUAAUACCAAUUUCUAUCUUCCGCUACUUCAUAUACUAUUGUUAUGUUUAAUAUUAUAUUUGUGUAAUUUCUAUCCGCCGAGCACGAUGAUGGUGUCAGCGGGAGCGGGUUGAGGGACGUGUAGAUGGGUCGUUAUCUCUGCGCUCGCUCGCUAUUCCGUCAACAAGUUAUUAUAUGUAAAUGAAACUCUUUGGUUCGUCAUUUAAAUUUACCGCGCAUUCUCCAUAUAUUAUCUGUGGUGACGGCAAAGGCAGGUUUUUUGCUGGAUUGUCUAAUAUGGAGAUUGCACUUAAUUAAUUACUUACUAAUAAGUUAACUAAUAAGAAACUAUAAAUAAAUAAGAUUGUUUGAAGCAAUAGCAUUUAAUGUUGUUUCUCUUUACAGGACGCCGACGGGGUCUUAAGCGAGGGGAUAAUCCGAGGGGCCAGGUAGCCAGGUAGCAGCUGCCGGACACGAUGAUGGCGACAGCGGGGAAAGGGUAGGAGGACGAGUCGAUCUUGCCAGCAACUCCGGGUUCCUACGAUAAAGUUGAAACCGGUCACUGACGACGCACCCUUACCCAUACGUCACAGCGGUCAAGGCGCUCUCCCACCGACUGGCUGUUUGCUGAAUACAGAAAUUUUUAAGGAUCCUGUUACUUAUUUUACUAUUAAAUUUUUUUUAUUACUAUGUAAAGUGUUUUUAUUA